Molecule: unclassified non-coding RNA, 358 nt
Filed under: soil metagenome
Description: partial contains 5.8S ribosomal RNA, internal transcribed spacer 2, and large subunit ribosomal RNA
Rfam family: 5.8S ribosomal RNA (bases 1-120)
Source: RNAcentral
GAUGAAGAACGUAGCGAAAUGCGAUAAGUAAUGUGAAUUGCAGAAUUCAGUGAAUCAUCGAAUCUUUGAACGCACAUUGCGCCCGUCAGUAUUCUGGCGGGCAUGCCUGUUCGAGCGUCAUUACGCCCCUCAAGUCCCCUGUGGACUUGGUGUUGGGGAUCGGCGAGGCUGGUUUUCCAGCACAGCCGUCCCUUAAAUUAAUUGGCGGUCUCGCCGUGGCCCUCCUCUGCGCAGUAGUAAAACACUCGCAACAGGAGCCCGGCGCGGUCCACUGCCGUAAAACCCCCCAACUUUUUAUAGUUGACCUCGAAUCAGGUAGGACUACCCGCUGAACUUAAGCAUAUCAAUAAGCGGAGGG